Molecule: long non-coding RNA, 2389 nt
Organism: Drosophila ananassae
Lineage: Eukaryota; Metazoa; Arthropoda; Insecta; Diptera; Drosophilidae
Exons: 3
Source: RefSeq, a predicted model, not a curated record
AAAACAAAGCAAACAAAGCCCCAAAUGCUUAAAGUAAAUUCAAAUUUAAUUAGGAUUUUUUUCGUAUCGUUUUGGGACUUAAAAGUCGGUCUUGGUCGGUCUAAGGGAACGGAGGCGGAACUACGCCCCAGUGGACUAAAUGUAAAUGAAAAUUGACGCAACGCAAGUUUAUUAAAAUGCGAUUUGCAUAAGCAUGUGGCAGGAGUGGCGGAGGGGCCGGCGACGCGUGGCAGAGACCAAAGUGGCACGGACGCCAGCCAGGUAUUAUUCCCUUUGUAUUGGCUUGUGCGGAGGACAGAGGCCAAAGCGCAGAGGGCAUAGGGCAGAUGGCAGCGCGCAAAGUGGGAAAAUGGCAAAUAAAAGGUCGAUGGAGAGAAUAGCGAACCACACGUGCGGCAAGUAUGCGAUAAAUGCGAUGACGGCAUGCGGUCGGUGGCGCCUGCAAUCAAUGCAGCUUUUCCAGCUACAGUUUUUUUUAAUUGCUUAGCGUGGAAAGCGAAUGUCUUCCCCUAUCGGCUCCAUGCCAACUGAAAAGCGGAAAAAGGAACGAUCCAAAAGCCAGCCAUUGUUGACGUUGAUCCACCUAACAAAGAGCCACUCGCCCGCUGGCGGGCAGAAUGCAGUCGAGCUGCAGCGGCUUAAAUUGAAAUUUGUUGUCAUCGUAAAUUGAGAAUAAUUAUAUAUAAUUGUAUGCGUGCAUGUGAAAGAGCUCACGGAUGCAAACACGACUGUCCCCGCCACUCCAGGUCGGGUUUGCACAUCAAGUAUACGCCGAGUUGGCACAUAAAAAAUGCAUUAAGCAAACAACAUUAAAAUUAACUUAAAUGCUAAAUGCAUUUGACACAUUUACUUAAUCGCAUUUUACCAAAGCUGAGCCGGCCCAUGAAAAAUGGAAAACAAACUUGGUCCGCAACUCCGGUAAUCCAAUAAAGGAAAUCCAUAUACGGAUAUACGCGGACAUUUGUGUUUGAAGUUCGCAUUACAAAUUAAUUACAUUCACCAGAGAUGGUCAUGCAAUUUUAAUUAAUAUUUGUCAUGCCAUUUUUACGGGGAAUGCCAAAUGCAUUUUUGCCAAAGCCAUAUCUGACUAAAUGCCCCGAUAUACACACUUAUUACGUACAUACGGCCGUACUUGGAUUGAAAUGUAUUUGCUUAGAUAAAUAUUUGUUUACAAAUAAGCAGAAUUAAUUGGAAUUGUUUCUAGUUACAUGGGAUUUUGGGAUAUUUGAUAGGCCAAAACAAACAGAGAACAGAACAUACCCAUUUGCAGCCUCCCUGCCCAGCCACUCUGGCGCAAUCAUCAAACGAAAUUAAUUUACGAAAGCAAAAAAAUAAUCGAGAGCAUUCGAAUCGUUUCUCUGUCCUCUUCCCCAUAAUUACCAUUCGAUUUGAAGGGAAUCAAAUUUAAAUUUAAAUUAAUAUUUCGAAAUGCAUCUGCGAAAUGGCCUGAUUUGCAUACGACAAAGAAGUAUAUCCUUGAAAACCGACAUCUGUUUGGAAACUAAUAUUUUCGAUUAAUAAUUCAAGUGGCAUCGGACUUCCGAGCCAAGAAACUUCUGAUUGGCCUGUCACUACACAUUAACGACAAGUCGAAAGUCGAGUCUAAUCCCAAGUUGAACUUCUCCCCAUAUCGCUCGACAAAAUGUGAAACAAAAAUUUUCUGUGGCUGCAGGACAUUUGUUUGCAGAGUUUCAGUUUGAAAUUUCGCAAAUAUUUGACAAUGCCAUGUGUGUAACCAGCAACAUAUAACCAAAUGUAUAACCGAAUGUUUAAUGGACGGGAAGGAAUUUAUAAUGGAUGGUUUUGUUUUUUAUAAUAAAAAACAGUACAAUUGGGAAUUUCAAUCGAUAACUUUGUAGUUAUAAUAUUUGUUAUUGGUGACACAGAUUCAGUGACACAUGGUGCAAAGUUUUGCAGUUACCUGAUUCAAAAUAAAGUGAAAAUAAAAUUAUAGAUUUUAAACAACUUCAAGCUGAUCAGUGGCACUUACCCAAAAAUAAACUUUCCGGCCGAGAAUCCAAAUUAUUUUUUUUUCUGUCUGUUUUGGACACGUUCUAAACUGGUUGGUGGCUCAAUAAAUUAACCGGCGAAAAUCCUGUGCCAGUGGGCUGGGGAUGUCCUUUCCUCUAUCGCACAACUCAGAGGCACAUACACUCGCACAGGACAGCGCUGCAGAGGAAGCGCGGCAGAGUAUUAAAAACUCAUUAAGCGACCGUCGAGGACCAUGGAGCCUGGCGUUGCUGCUAUAAGCCCACAAUCACACAUAUGCAAGCGGAAGUAGAGGCUUAGGUUUGGGUUUCUGAGCCUGGACUGCCAAAAAGUCUGCUGUCGGUGUUCCGUUUUUGAAUUUUUUGCUUUUUGUGCCCGGCAACUCGGCGAAAGUAAAUCG